GACGAAACUGACGCGAUUGACGCGGGCGC
This 29-nucleotide small RNA is filed under the name Bombyx mori (domestic silkworm). RNAcentral describes it as "ovarian small RNA-15525". Lineage: Eukaryota; Metazoa; Arthropoda; Insecta; Lepidoptera; Bombycidae. The record is from RNAcentral.